GACGAACGCUGGCGGCGUGCUUAACACAUGCAAGUCGAACGGUGAAGCACCUUCCUUUUGGUGGGUGUGGAUGAGUGGCGAACGGGUGAGUAACACGUGAGUAACCUGCCCCCUUCUUCUGGAUAACCGCAUGAAAGUGUGGCUAAUACGGGAUAUUCUGUGCCUGCUGCAUGGUGGGUGUGGGAAAGAUGCGCUUUUGGGUGUUUUUGGUGGGGGAUGGGCUCGCGGCCUAUCAGCUUGUUGGUGGGGUGAUGGCCUACCAAGGCGGUGACGGGUAGCCGGCCUGAGAGGGUGGACGGUCACACUGGGACUGAGACACGGCCCAGACUCCUACGGGAGGCAGCAGUGGGGAAUAUUGCACAAUGGGCGCAAGCCUGAUGCAGCGACGCCGCGUGAGGGAUGGAGGCCUUCGGGCUGUAAACCUCUUUCGCCAGUGAAGCAGGCCUGUCCCUUGUGGGUGGAUUGACGGUAGCUGGAUAAGAAGCGCCGGCUAACUACGUG
This 501-nucleotide ribosomal RNA is filed under the name uncultured bacterium. RNAcentral's name for it is "partial 16S ribosomal RNA". It matches the Rfam family "Bacterial small subunit ribosomal RNA", at positions 28 to 507 of the family's 1533-position model. The record is from RNAcentral.